UCACUUUCAGCGAUGUGGUAGAGCCGUGUGAUGGAUUUGACAAUGAGUUCCUUCGGUGUAAGGGAAUGACUCUGGAAUAUUUGAGCAACAACGGGAGCGCUGUCAGAAUGUCAGGAACGUUAGAAAUGCUGCAGUCAAUUGACGAUGAUCAUUCAAUGGAGAUGCGCAUAUCUAAGGUAUCAGGAACAUCGUGCAAUGACGUAAUGUGGGUUGGAGCCUCAAAUGUGUGUGGAAGUAUUAAAGAUGAAAAAACACCAUGGUACCCUGUGAUAGAAAAUAUGAAAAUAACGGAAUGUCCGAUAGCCACGGGCGACUAUGCAAUGAAUGAUGUUAUUCUAAAAGAAGCAUCUGCCGAUGACUUCUGCUCUCCAGAAAUGGUUGGUGAUUAUUGCAUACAGAUGUCUGUUACUAACACCAGGAAUGAACAGCUCUCGUGCUACAUUUCAUACGUUUCGUUGGAAGAUGCCAAGAAAAAGAAAUAAAGCAAAUAUUAAUGUCUAAGUCUCUAUAUAAAAGU
Molecule: long non-coding RNA, 517 nt
Organism: Leptidea sinapis
Lineage: Eukaryota; Metazoa; Arthropoda; Insecta; Lepidoptera; Pieridae
Exons: 3
Source: RefSeq, a predicted model, not a curated record